This 253-nucleotide ribosomal RNA is filed under the name uncultured bacterium. RNAcentral's name for it is "partial 16S ribosomal RNA". It matches the Rfam family "Bacterial small subunit ribosomal RNA", at positions 524 to 776 of the family's 1533-position model. The record is from RNAcentral.
UACGAAGGUCCCAAGCGUUAUCCGGAUUUAUUGGGUUUAAAGGGUGCGUAGGCGGGCUAUUAAGUCAGUGGUGAAAGCCCCAAGCUUAACUUGGGAACUGCCAUUGAUACUGAUGGUCUUGAGUACAUUUGAGGUGGGCGGAAUGUGUCAUGUAGCGGUGAAAUGCUUAGAUAUGACACAGAACACCGAUUGCGAAGGCAGCUCACUAAACUGUAACUGACGCUGAGGCACGAAAGCGUGGGGAUCAAACAGG